Molecule: ribosomal RNA, 253 nt
Filed under: uncultured bacterium
Lineage: Bacteria
Description: partial 16S ribosomal RNA
Rfam family: Bacterial small subunit ribosomal RNA
Source: RNAcentral
UACGGAGGAGGCAAGCGUUAUUCGGAAUUAGUGGGCGUAAAGCGUCCGUAGGUGGUUGGCGAAGUCUGCUGUCAAAGGGUGGGGCUUAACCUCAUAAAUGCAGUGGAAACUGGCGGGCUAGAGUGCGGUAGGGGUAGGGGGAAUUCCCAGUGUAGCGGUGAAAUGCGUAGAGAUUGGGAAGAACAUCGGUGGCGAAAGCGCCCUGCUGGGCCUGCACUGACACUGAGGGACGAAAGCUAGGGGAGCGAAAGGG